Molecule: long non-coding RNA, 2781 nt
Organism: Triticum aestivum (bread wheat)
Lineage: Eukaryota; Viridiplantae; Streptophyta; Magnoliopsida; Poales; Poaceae
Exons: 8
Source: RefSeq, a predicted model, not a curated record
AGGAGGAUGGAUCCAGGACCGACCGCUGCGGAUUCCCCGCCUCACUAAUGUCGGUCUUGUGCUUGCCUGGGGUUCUUCUUCGCCCAGCACCAACACCGUUGAUGGCAGUGAAAACCAGCUGCUACAGAUGCUGAUCAUUGGCCGGUGAGCUCACACAUUUGCACCUUCGGAAGCACCAGGUCACCUACUACAACAUCAAGUUCUACGACGAGGUUGCUGGGCGCUAGCCAUGGCUUCCGACGCGUUACAUGGCUGAAGGCUUUUUGGUUCGCGUGCUCGUGUGACGCCGGCGCCAGUGGUGCUGUACGGCCUCGGCUACAGCCAUUCUGGAACUAGCUAUGGCGGUGGCUGCGGAUUUUCCACUUCAACAAGGUUUCGUGCCUCCCUGGUUUGCACAAGCUCCGUCAGGCAGCUGCAGAUCCCGUACGACCAUGGCCCACACCCCGGAAGCUUCACCCGUCUGCAACAACUUCUGGAUCAAAGGAUUGUUGCUUAAUCCCGGGCUGCUCUACCUUGAAGGAAAAGGGGUCGUCCUUGAGAUCAUAUAGAUGGCGCAAGGACAAUGGUCAUUGUGGUGGCUGAGGAUGCUGGCCAAGAUCUUAUCGUGUGAAGCAUGAAUUUUGUGGACCUCACCAUCCCUUCCUAGGUUUGGCUGCUGAUCGGGAACCAACCAUUGGUGUACCUCAAUAAGGUCACAGACGGCUGCAUGGGUGAGUCGCCGCCAAGCUCGAGUCCAUGGAGCCCUGCUCCAGCCUCAAGGGGAGGAGAAGGGGUUCAUCGAGCCAGGCAAGGUGUGCGGUGGUAGGCUCGGUCUCCAGCCUCAGCGUCUUCUGUUGGCCCCUUUGCCAUGUGGCGCCGACGAUGUUGUUCGGAGUCGGCUACAAAACUGGCAUGGUUUGGCUUUUUAUCCAAUGUAUGAACUGAUGGAUCAUCCUCUGGGUUAUGCUUCCUGAAUAGCGAAGAGCUAAUCAUCCUGGUGAUUGGUCAAAUAAAAGUUCAUCUUGUUUCAGUUGCCCCUGUAGUGAUAGGGAUGCAGUGUGAUGUUGAAAAAGGCCACAGCUGCUGAUCGUGAACUAGCCAUUGGUGUACCUCAAUAAGGUCACCGACGGCUGCAUGGGUGAGUCACCGCAAAGCUUGAGUCCAUGGAGCCCUGCUCCAGCCUCAAGGAGAGGUUAGGCAGCUGCUCCUUUUUUUCUGGAUCCCCGUGAUUUGUUUUUUGUUGUUGUUGUUUUUCAAUCUUGGCUCAAGAUUUGUUAUGUGUGUUUCCCUUGUGCCGGAGAAAUGGUUCAUCGAGCCAGGCAAGGUGCGCGGUGGUAGGCUCGGUCUCCAGCCUCAGCGUCUUCUGUCGGCCCCAUUGCCAUGUGGCGCCUACGGUGCUGUUCGGAGUCGGCUACAAAACUGGCUUGGAAGCACGACAGGUCGCGUAAAGAGGAGGAAAACAAAGCUGAGCGCUCAACUUGUUUAGUGGACUAGCCUUUCUUCUUCCUUGAAAGAAACGUUGAAAGGUAAGACAUGACAGGGGCAAGCAUAGAUAGGCACUGGAGAUUUUUUUUUCUUUCUCUAGUCCAUUUACUGAAUGGGGUGAUGCUUUAUUUCUUCCGAAGGAGAAGAUGUGCUGAAACUAGAUGUAGAGAUGCAUGACCCUUUCUUUGAUUUCCUCUACGUGCUUGAUUCUGAAGUAGGAUGAUCAAAUUUAGAUGGUAUUUACUUUUUUUGUAGGGCAAGUAUAAUGUUUGCCAAGUCAAUCAAUAUAUAUUGACAUGCUCCCUGGGAUGAGAUGGCAAACCAUUUAGAUCAAGCCAUUUCAGUUUGCUGCAUUCAAAUUCCAAACCAAUUAAUGUCCACUUUUAGUUUAAGCCAUGAGAUGAUGGAAAACCAACUCAGUUUGCUACACUUGGUUGUAGAAAUGUCACUCACCGUUCCAGAUUAUUACUUGAGGUUAUAUAUGCUAUACGUAUAAACUAUGCUAGUGUUUGAUCUGGCCCUUGCGAAACAAGGAAAUUUGUUCCUUUCUUUUGUUGUCGCACACUUGUAGCUAAAGAUUGACUAGGACAUUGCUAUUUUUUAUUGCCGCUUGAUCUGAACCCUUCAGUCUUGUUGAUAGCUAGCAUGCCCUGCGACUAACGAUUACGCAAAGAACUCUUAUCUACUCUUGGUAAUUUACCAAGAAAACUCUGCAGUUUGAACGGAUCGAGUUGAUUGUGACUAUCACGAUCCUUUUGAUGGGUUUUGUUGUUGAAACAACGCAAACUAGGAGGGGGAUUAGAUAACUGAUUGAGAGCUAUUUGUUUUGUUGUGUGCAUGCUAUGGGACACAUACAUUACACUUUUUUAGCUUAGUCUCGGCCUACUAGACAUUGCUUGUAGUUUCUUGCUUUGAGCUUGUUUGGCAUGCAAAUUAACUCAUAUGUGGUGGAGUUCUUUUCUUUGUUUUUGCUGAGACGAAGAGCUUCUAGCUUUGAGAGGCAAAAGAAGAUGGUCCUCCGAAUUCGUUUAAGCUUGGCUUUGGUGGCGCCGGAAGAGAAAGGUUUGUUUUCGGACUCGAGGCCAACCAAGCAACUAGGCUGUCGACCGAAUUCGUUUAAGCUUGGCUUUGGUGGCAUUGGAAGAGAAAGGUUUGUUUUUGGACAUGGGACCUGGCGCUGCUUAUGACAACGGUCAUUUCUUUGUGUAUGUAAUAUACUAGUUGUUGUAAUAGACUAGCUUUUGUACCUGCCACUUGUAGUGUUCUCCUUCCAUGUGAAAUACAAAAUGGCAAUUCUAUGCCCCUGUUCAUGCAUUC